AAGAUAGAUAACAAUGAGAUGAUUCAUUAUAUCUUGGCCGGUCUUGAUUUUGAAUACAACAUGUUUGUUACUUCGAUGCUUGGCCGGGUUGGGUCAAUCUCUCUGAGUGAUCUAUACUCCCAACUAUGGUCCUAUG
Panicum hallii is the source of this 136-nucleotide small nucleolar RNA. RefSeq annotates it as small nucleolar RNA Z247. The transcript has a single exon. The record is from RefSeq and is a predicted model, not a curated record. NCBI's taxonomy places the organism in Eukaryota, Viridiplantae, Streptophyta, Magnoliopsida, Poales, Poaceae.